This 440-nucleotide ribosomal RNA is filed under the name uncultured bacterium. Its description in RNAcentral is "bacterial SSU rRNA". It matches the Rfam family "Bacterial small subunit ribosomal RNA", at positions 338 to 795 of the family's 1533-position model. The record is from RNAcentral.
CCUACGGGAGGCAGCAGUGAGGAAUCUUCCACAAUGGACGAAAGUCUGAUGGAGCGACACCGCGUGAAGGAUGACGGUCUAACGAUUGUAAACUUCUUUUCUGAAGGAGCAUAAUGAGAGUACUUCAGGAAUAAGGGACGGCUAAUUACGUGCCAGCAGCCGCGGUAAUACGUAAGUCCCAAGCGUUACUCGAAAUUACUGGGUGUAAAGCGUUUGUAGGCGGAUGAAAAAGUCAGAUAUGAAAGACCGAGGCUCAACCUCGUGUAUGUAUUUGAAACUAUUCAUCUAGAAUCAGGGAGAGGUAAGCGGAAUUCUAAGUGUAGGGGUGCAAUCCGUAGAUACUUAGAAGAACACCAAAAGCGAAGGCAGCUUACUGGAACUCGAUUGACGCUGAGAAACGAAAGCGUGGGGAGCGAAGAGGAUUAGAUACCCUAGUAGUC